Molecule: ribosomal RNA, 308 nt
Filed under: uncultured soil bacterium
Lineage: Bacteria
Description: bacterial SSU rRNA
Rfam family: Bacterial small subunit ribosomal RNA
Source: RNAcentral
AGAAUCAACGCUGGCGGCGUGCCUCAGACAUGCAAGUCGAACGCGAAAGUCCCCUUCGGGGGACAAGUAGAGUGGCGCACGGGUGAGUAACACGUAGGUAAUCUACCUUCGGAUGGGGAAUAACAACCGGAAACGGUUGCUAAUACCGCAUAAUGCAGCGGCACCUAAUGGUGACAGUUGUUAAAGCGGGGGAUCGUAAGACCUCGCGUCUGAAGAGGAGCCUGCGGCGGAUUAGCUAGUUGGUAGGGUAACGGCCUACCAAGGCGACGAUCCGUAGCCGGCCUGAGACGGGCGUCGGGCCACGACGU